GAAAAGCUAAGAAAGCACAUUACUUUCCCAGAAAGCCAAGAAACUACAAUUUGCCAGGAUGCAAAAUGCUAUACAAAUGUCUGUACGUAUCAGAAAAGUUGAGGGGACCUUAUUUAGUGUCAAACAUUGGACAUGGAAGCAUGAAAGCAAGAAAACUGCAGCACCUUACUCCAGGAAGUAAAUUUUGGGGAGGAAAUGAAGUUGCUGAAUCAUCAUGGUAA
This 221-nucleotide long non-coding RNA is filed under the name Coturnix japonica (Japanese quail). RNAcentral describes it as "lncRNA (ENSCJPG00005014913.1)". Lineage: Eukaryota; Metazoa; Chordata; Aves; Galliformes; Phasianidae. The record is from RNAcentral.